Molecule: ribosomal RNA, 253 nt
Filed under: uncultured bacterium
Lineage: Bacteria
Description: partial 16S ribosomal RNA
Rfam family: Bacterial small subunit ribosomal RNA
Source: RNAcentral
UACGUAGGGUGCAAGCGUUAAUCGGAAUUACUGGGCGUAAAGCGUGCGCAGGCGGUUAUGUAAGACAGAUGUGAAAUCCCCGGGCUCAACCUGGGAACUGCAUUUGUGACUGCAUCGCUGGAGUGCGGCAGAGGGGGAUGGAAUUCCGCGUGUAGCAGUGAAAUGCGUAGAUAUGCGGAGGAACACCGAUGGCGAAGGCAAUCCCCUGGACCUGUACUGACGCUCAUGCACGAAAGCGUGGGGAGCAAACAGG